AGCGCAACUGACGCUCAUGCUCGAAAGUGCGGGUAUCGAACAGGAUUAGAUACCCUGGUAGUCCGCACGGUAAACGAUGGAUGCCCGCUAUUUGUCCAUUAGGAUAAGUGGCCAAGUGAAAACGUUAAGCAUCCCACCUGGGGAGUACGCCGGCAACGGUGAAACUCAAAGGAAUUGACGGGGGCCCGCACAAGCGGAGGAACAUGUGGUUUAAUUCGAUGAUACGCGAGGAACCUUACCCGGGCUUGAAUUGUGAGAGAAGGAUCCAGAGAUGGUGACGCCCUUCGGGGCUCUCAUGAAGGUGCUGCAUGGUUGCCGUCAGCUCGUGCCGUGAGGUGUCGGCUUAAGUGCCAUAACGAGCGCAACCCCUCUCUUCAGUUGCCAUCAGGUUAAGCUGGGCACUCUGGAGACACUGCCACCGUAAGGUGUGAGGAAGGUGGGGAUGACGUCAAAUCAGCACGGCCCUUACGUCCGGGGCUACACACGUGUUACAAUGGGUGGUACAGAGAGUUGGGUGCCCGCAAGGUCACUCUAAUCAAUAAAUCCAUCCUCAGUUCGGACUGGGGUCUGCAACCCGACCCCACGAAGCUGGAUUCGCUAG
This 601-nucleotide ribosomal RNA is filed under the name uncultured bacterium. RNAcentral's name for it is "bacterial SSU rRNA". It matches the Rfam family "Bacterial small subunit ribosomal RNA", at positions 733 to 1338 of the family's 1533-position model. The record is from RNAcentral.